GAUGAACGCUAGCUACAGGCUUAACACAUGCAAGUCGAGGGGUAACGAGAGGGAAGCUUGCUUUCCUUGUCGACGACCGGCGCACGGGUGAGUAACGCGUAUCCAACCUGCCCCCAACUAGGGAAUAACCUUGCGAAAGUAAGACUAAUACCCUAUAAUUUCCUCAGAUGUCAUCUGACGAGGAAUAAAGAUUUAUCGGUUGUGGAUGGGGAUGCGUCUGAUUAGCUUGUUGGCGGGGUAACGGCCCAUCAUGGCAACGAUCAGUAGGGGUUCUGAGAGGAAGGUCCCCCACAUUGGAACUGAGACACGGUCCAAACUCCUACGGGAGGCAGCAGUGAGGAAUAUUGGUCAAUGGGCGGAAGCCUGAACCAGCCAAGUAGCGUGCAGGAUGACGGCCCUAUGGGUUGUAAACUGCUUUUAUACAGGAAUAAAGUUAGCCACGUGUGGUUAUUUGUAGGUACUGUAUGAAUAAGGACCGGCUAAUUCCGUGCCAGCAGCCGCGGUAA
Molecule: ribosomal RNA, 506 nt
Filed under: uncultured bacterium
Lineage: Bacteria
Description: partial 16S ribosomal RNA
Rfam family: Bacterial small subunit ribosomal RNA
Source: RNAcentral